This 285-nucleotide long non-coding RNA is filed under the name Fukomys damarensis (Damara mole-rat). Its description in RNAcentral is "lncRNA (ENSFDAG00000022341.1)". The record is from RNAcentral. Lineage: Eukaryota; Metazoa; Chordata; Mammalia; Rodentia; Bathyergidae.
GAAUCAGGCUGUGGUGAGGUUGAACACACUGCAGGACCAAUUAGACCUAAGCAGUCUGCUGGAUGUAGCCUGGCAUGACUGUGAGCUCACUGCAUGGUGAUCCACUGCUCACAGUUCUGCUGGAUGAAGGAUGAGCCAAGAUCAUUCUCACUAUGUGACUAACAGAUGGCUGGAUGCAGGCUGGGGUGAGCAUGAGCACACUGCAAGACUAAUUGGUCCUAAAAGGUCUGCUGGAUGUAGCCUUGGAUGAAUGUGAACCCACUGCAUGGUUAUCUGCAGCUCAAA